RNAcentral lists this ribosomal RNA (863 nucleotides) under uncultured bacterium. RNAcentral's name for it is "bacterial SSU rRNA". It matches the Rfam family "Bacterial small subunit ribosomal RNA", at positions 28 to 872 of the family's 1533-position model. The record is from RNAcentral.
GACGAACGCUGGCGGCGUGCCUAAUACAUGCAAGUCGAGCGGAUGAUAAAGGAGCUUGCUCCUUUAGAUUCAGCGGCGGACGGGUGAGUAACACGUGGGCAACCUGCCUGUAAGACUGGGAUAACUUCGGGAAACCGGAGCUAAUACCGGAUAACUCUUCGAACCACAUGGUUCGAAGAUAAAAGAUGGUUUCGGCUAUCACUUACAGAUGGGCCCGCGGCGCAUUAGCUAGUUGGUGAGGUAACGGCUCACCAAGGCGACGAUGCGUAGCCGACCUGAGAGGGUGAUCGGCCACACUGGGACUGAGACACGGCCCAGACUCCUACGGGAGGCAGCAGUAGGGAAUCUUCCGCAAUGGACGAAAGUCUGACGGAGCAACGCCGCGUGAGCGAUGAAGGCCUUCGGGUCGUAAAGCUCUGUUGUUAGGGAAGAACAAGUACCAGUUAACUGCUGGUACCUUGACGGUACCUAACGAGAAAGCCACGGCUAACUACGUGCCAGCAGCCGCGGUAAUACGUAGGUGGCAAGCGUUGUCCGGAUUUAUUGGGCGUAAAGCGCGCGCAGGCGGUUCUUUAAGUCUGAUGUGAAAGCCCCCGGCUCAACCGGGGAGGGUCAUUGGAAACUGGGGAACUUGAGUGCAGAAGAGAAGAGCGGAAUUCCACGUGUAGCGGUGAAAUGCGUAGAGAUGUGGAGGAACACCAGUGGCGAAGGCGGCUCUUUGGUCUGUAACUGACGCUGAGGCGCGAAAGCGUGGGGAGCAAACAGGAUUAGAUACCCUGGUAGUCCACGCCGUAAACGGUGAGUGCUAAGUGUUGGAGGGUUUCCGCCCUUCAGUGCUGCAGCUAACGCAUUAAGCACUCCGC